AAAUAAAAUUGAUACUUAAGGUUUAGAUCCGUGUUUACUUUCAAACGAACUGCUGACUUGUAAAAAUUUGACGUUCGCUGACAUUUACUACCUCGUCCACAAUCCCUAUCCAUUCACCGGAAGGCAUUUAAAAGCACUGAAGCCUACCGCUACUUCACCUCAGGAUGGGUUAAUGAUCCCGGAAUCUAUCAUCUGGAGAUGAAGAAAAUGUUCUCGAUAACAGGAAGGGUGAAGCAUUCACAAAGCCUCAGUUUAACACCAACAUACCACUGGAUAACAGUACAGGAAGAUGGGACAGUUCUCAGAUAUUUUGAAGAAUGUCAUCAACCAAACAGUAAACUGGAACCAUUGACUUCCAUAGUAGGAAAAAAAUUACCAUGGAAGUCAAUGGUUCCAGUUUGGUUACUGACAUUCUUCAAAAUAUCUUCCUUUGUGUUCUCCUGUAGAAAGAAAUGCAUGCAGGUUUGAAACAACUUGAGGGUGAGAAUGAUGACAGAAUUUUCAUUUUAAAGUGAACUAUUCCUUUAAUGAAGUUCAUAUCUUCAUUAAGUGUUAGUUUUCAAUCAGUAGUUUAAAAUGCAUUAUUCAAUAACAUUCGGUUAAGUUACUAUUUGUGAGCCGGGCACAGGGUUUCUGGUAGGAAUAAAUAUUUGCACAGUAGAAAUGCAGUUUGAAUCUACAACCUAAUUACCCAUGUGGUUUAUAAUGUAUAUGGGAUUUUUUAUGAAUGAUUUGAUUAUUACGAAUGAUUAACAAUAAACAGAAUGAGAACAGAA
This is a long non-coding RNA of Pimephales promelas (fathead minnow), 776 nucleotides long. RefSeq lists it as uncharacterized. The record is from RefSeq and is a predicted model, not a curated record. Lineage: Eukaryota; Metazoa; Chordata; Actinopteri; Cypriniformes; Leuciscidae.